ACUUAAGUUAAAAGCCAGUGAAAGUGUUCCUGUGAAGCAUGACGAGAGUAAUGACACACAUACAGUUGCAGCCACAUUUAUGUGUGUUCUACCGGCUCAACCAACAGCCAUGCCGACGAACGCGAAACGUUAUCGCGAAAGGAGAACUUAUGCUAGAAGGAUGCCCCACGCCUGUUCUGAUAUUAUGAAAGAGAAGGAGAUAGAAGAGAAGAAAA
Molecule: long non-coding RNA, 215 nt
Filed under: Polistes fuscatus (common paper wasp)
Lineage: Eukaryota; Metazoa; Arthropoda; Insecta; Hymenoptera; Vespidae
Description: uncharacterized LOC122519863
Source: RNAcentral